GGCUUCCAGUUUGGAACUAUUAGGGAUAAAGCUGCUGUGAAUAUUUGUUCACUGAUUAUUGUGUGAACAAAAUUUUCUCUUUAUCUGGGAUAAAUGCCCAAGAGUACAAUUUCUAAGCUGUAUGGUCUCCUCUAGGACGUGUGAUGGAAAAGUCCAGUGCUGGUCAGCCUAGGGGACUGUCAAGUGAAGAGUGGAUUUGGAACCAACUGGCCUGAUCCACUAGACACCUGGCAGCAGAGGGAUAGACUGGCUUGGCCUGUUGAAAAUAAACCACAUGAACGCAGAAUUUGUGCUGCCUGGGUGCCGUUUUCCCAAAUAUGACAAUAUGGAUCUGAAGUUACCUCAGGAGUUACUGAAGCAUCUUAUUGGAAACCACAAGUCCUUAGUCCUGCUGUAAAGCAAGAGGCAGCCCUGGACUCGGCUUUUCCUUACUGAGAGUGACAUUCUGCACUGGUCAACUUAGACACCUCAUGUGGCGGCUGACAUGGCUUCACACCUGCACCUGUGAAGAGUUUCCAGGGUGUGAACCCUCUGCUGGCCAGAGGGUGACUGUUACCUGGCAGUGACAGAAAG
Molecule: long non-coding RNA, 573 nt
Organism: Bos taurus (domestic cattle)
Lineage: Eukaryota; Metazoa; Chordata; Mammalia; Artiodactyla; Bovidae
Source: Ensembl